AUGAACGUGCUCCGACUGGAGUCUCAUGUUGCUGGUGUGGUUGACUACCUUGCUAGACUAAAGGUUGCGGCGUCGCGAGUUGACACGACACUCUGGCCAGGAGCGACGCUUCAAAAUGACCUCGAGUCUCUAAUGACUCGACUGAAUGAAGUUCCAGGUCGAGUGCAAGAAUGUAAGAAGUCUUCUGCCAGGUGCGGCACUGACGUUGCUCUGUCCCUGGUCCGUGUUCACUGCAAGGAUGCGCGAGAGGAAAAGCUGGCGUCCAUCAAAGUUGCCAAUACCAAGAAGCACGACUUCCAAUCUUUCAUGGAGACCUUCAUUGCUACUGCCACUCGGAUUGCUAGCGGAAUUGAGUUGGACCAGUUUGUCGCGCCCUCCAGCCCUCCACCCGAGGAGUAA
Molecule: ribosomal RNA, 399 nt
Filed under: Triticum aestivum (bread wheat)
Lineage: Eukaryota; Viridiplantae; Streptophyta; Magnoliopsida; Poales; Poaceae
Description: partial small subunit ribosomal RNA
Source: RNAcentral